AGCGAGACUAGAGUCACAUCCUGACGUUGCUCGUUGUCUUGGUGUGCUAUAGUACUCGCAGAAUAACCUCUCUGCUUAUUCAUUGGCUGCUGCUUUCCAUUGCCCAGCCAAUCACCAGCUCUGAAACAUGC
Molecule: small nucleolar RNA, 131 nt
Organism: Danio rerio (zebrafish)
Lineage: Eukaryota; Metazoa; Chordata; Actinopteri; Cypriniformes; Danionidae
Source: Ensembl